This 279-nucleotide ribosomal RNA is filed under the name uncultured bacterium. RNAcentral's name for it is "partial 16S ribosomal RNA". It matches the Rfam family "Bacterial small subunit ribosomal RNA", at positions 506 to 784 of the family's 1533-position model. The record is from RNAcentral.
UGCCAGCCGCCGCGGUAACACGGGGGGCGCAAGCGUUAUUCGGAAUUAUUGGGCGUAAAGGGCGCGCAGGCGGUCUUGUCCGUUAGAUGUUAAAGCUCCGGGCUUAACCCGGAGAGGUCGUUUAAAACUGCUAGACUUGAGGACGGUAGAGGAAGGUAGAAUUCCGUGUGUAGUGGUGAAAUGCGUAGAUAUACGGAGGAAUACCAGUGGCGAAGGCGGCCUUCUGGCCCGCUCCUGACACUCAGACGCGAAAGCUAGGGUAGCGAACGGGAUUAGAUA